AAUUUUUACAAGUAGGAAGCAGAAUCAGUUUUACUGUGGGCAUAAUUCUACGAGUCACAGUCCUAGCAAAUGCACAAGCGUUCUUCACUUGGAGCUGUUGGCUGUGCAGCUGGUAGCUGUUGACACAAAGAUAUUUUCCCCAGAAGAGGAAGCAGCUGAUUUACCUGUCUCCAGGAAUUAUCAACUUAUCAGAGUGGAGUGAUGGGGAUACUGAUGCCACAUGGUAUGGUGUGUUAGAGGGCUGCAGGAAGAGAUGACCAUGGAGUUCUCCAAGGACUACGACAAGUGGAGGUCAACCAAGGGUCAAUACUUUGGGGAUGAAAAAAGAGAUGAAUCAUGGCUACAUCCCUUCUGCCUGCCUGAAAGUUUGAAAUGGAAACAAAAGAAAGCUGAUGAACAAAGAAGAUAUACACCACCAAGCUGUAUUUGUGUGACCAUGGACUUCCCGUACAUAUAGAAGAUCUAUUGCCUCUGUUUGAUCAGUGGGUUUCUUUUCCCCCUUUCAUGAAUAGAGGUCUUUUUUGGUUUGGUUUUUUAAAAUAUCAUGAAUGAUAUAAUACAGAAAUCAGAGUUAAAUAUUUAAUAAUACUUUGUAUUGUUCCACGUAAGGAUCUCAAAGCACUGUACAAACAUGAGUUGUCUGAUCCCGAACUCAUCAGAGUCAAUGGGAAUUUUCCCAGGGGUGCAAAAUCAGGCCCUCAGUCUCUCAAACUGUCUUGAGAACUAAAGUAGCAUUACACCUGUUUUUACUCAUGUGUCAACUGAGGCAAAGAGAAGGUAAAGGAUUGGGAUCCAACUCCCAUUAAAGUCAAUCUUUGUACUGAAUUUACUGAUAGUUGCAUCAGGCUAUAAAUGACUUGUCUGUGGCAAUGAUGUGGGCAGGUCACACAGGCAGGAAUAGUAUCUCUGUGCUCUAACCACUCAAAAAACAAACCAAAACAUUAAAAGCAUCCUUUGUUUUAACUGAAUCCUUGUCUGCAGCAGGAUUAUUAAAUGAUUCCAUGCCCUUGGUUUUAUAUAUCAAUAACACACCAUUUAAAAUCUGAGGAGAUGGAAGAGAAAUAAUUAUUUUUAUGUCUCAUUUAUAUACUCUGUUGUUACAAAUGUAAGAUUUAGGGGCAAAAUCUGCUCUUUGUUACUCAGGUGUAAACCAGGAGUUACUCCAUUGAGAUUGAUGGAUUUCAUUCUGGAUUUGUACCAUGGUAUCAGAGCAAAAUUUGUCUCAAUGUAGAAAAUAAAAUCCAAUAAUUUUAUCUAAAUGGAUACGAUGCAAUGCUCAGCAUCUUAUUAGCAGUUUAAUGAUGUGCUGAAGGUUUGGA
Long non-coding RNA from Chelonia mydas (Green sea turtle), 1319 nucleotides. RefSeq lists it as uncharacterized. The transcript has 3 exons. Lineage: Eukaryota; Metazoa; Chordata; Testudines; Cheloniidae. The record is from RefSeq and is a predicted model, not a curated record.